RNAcentral lists this ribosomal RNA (492 nucleotides) under uncultured bacterium. RNAcentral describes it as "partial 16S ribosomal RNA". It matches the Rfam family "Bacterial small subunit ribosomal RNA", at positions 30 to 507 of the family's 1533-position model. The record is from RNAcentral.
AGUGAACGCUGGCGGCAGGCCUAACACAUGCAAGUCGAACGGCAGCACAGUAAGAGCUUGCUUUUACGGGUGGCGAGGGGCGGACGGGUGAGGAAUACAUCGGAAUCUACUUUUUCGUGGGGGAUAACGUAGGGAAACUUACGCUAAUACCGCAUACGACCUACGGGUGAAAGCAGGGGAUCUUCGGACCUUGCGCGAUUGUAUGAGCCGAUGUCGGAUUAGCUAGUUGGCGGGGUAAAGGCCCACCAAGGCAACGAGGCGUAGCUGAUCGGAGAGGAUGGUAGGCAACACGGGAAAGGAGAAAAGGUCGAGACGACGACGGGAGGCAGAAGGAGGGAAGGGGCGGAAAAGGGGGAAAGCCUGACGGAGCAACGCCGCGUGAGUGAUGAAGGUCUUCGGAUCGUAAAACUCUGUUAUGAGGGAAGAACAGAUGUGUAAGUAACUGUGCACAUCGGGACGGUACCUAAUCAGAAAGCCACGGCUAACUACGUG